This 253-nucleotide ribosomal RNA is filed under the name uncultured bacterium. RNAcentral's name for it is "partial 16S ribosomal RNA". It matches the Rfam family "Bacterial small subunit ribosomal RNA", at positions 524 to 776 of the family's 1533-position model. The record is from RNAcentral.
UACGUAGGCAGCGAGCGUUGUUCGGAGUUACUGGGCGUAAAGGGUGUGUAGGCGGUUCUUUAAGUUUGGUGUGAAGUCUCCCGGCUCAACCGGGAGGGUGCGCCGAAUACUGAGGGACUCGAGUGCAGGAGAGGAAAGUGGAAUUCCUGGUGUAGCGGUGAAAUGCGUAGAUAUCUGGAGGAAUACCGGUGGCGAAGGCGGCAUCCUGGACCGACAUUGACGCUGAACGGCGAAAGCUAGGGGAGCAAACGGG